Molecule: ribosomal RNA, 405 nt
Filed under: uncultured bacterium
Lineage: Bacteria
Description: bacterial SSU rRNA
Rfam family: Bacterial small subunit ribosomal RNA
Source: RNAcentral
AAUGAACGCUGGCGGCGCGCCUAAUACAUGCAAGUCGAGCGAGAAGACGUAGCAAUACGUUUGUAAAGCGGCGAACGGGUGAGGAAUACAUGGGUAACCUACCCUCGAGUGGGGAAUAACUAGCCGAAAGGUUAGCUAAUACCGCGUACGCUUCUUGGACUUCGGUUCAGGGAGGAAAGCGAUACCGUGGGUAUCGCGCUCUUGGAUGGGCUCAUGUCCUAUCAGCUUGNGGUGAGGUAACGGCUCACCAAGGCUUCGACGGGUAGCUGGUCUGAGAGGACGAUCAGCCACACUGGCACUGCGACACGGGCCAGACUCCUACGGGAGGCAGCAGUAAGGAAUAUUGCGCAAUGGGCGAAAGCCUGACGCAGCGACGCCGCGUGGGGGAUGAAGGUCUUCGGAUUG